This is a long non-coding RNA of Glycine soja, 379 nucleotides long. RefSeq lists it as uncharacterized. The record is from RefSeq and is a predicted model, not a curated record. The transcript is spliced from 2 exons. Lineage: Eukaryota; Viridiplantae; Streptophyta; Magnoliopsida; Fabales; Fabaceae.
AAGUUUUUGCCAUUGAAUCAUCAAGAAAUUGUUUCAAGGUUGGUGCCCCCCUCAUUGCUGUGUUCCUCUAAGAAAGAAUUGUUUGUCAAGUUAUGUAAACCACGACCAAUUGACGACGGUAACAAGCAUGAUUGCAAAUUAUGAAGGCUCAAAGCAAAAUCACAAAUUGGUCGAAUAUGUACUCUGUCUUGAAGAAUUUACAGAACCUACCAACACCUUGUACAUUUGCUACAUUCUUCAAAAAUGGCAGUCAUGAUCAUGCAAGACGUUGCUAGUCCACAGAAGUACAUCAGAAUAAAACUUUAAUAGAUUGGAAACAGGGUGGCUUUUGAAAAAGUUGCAAUUGCAAAUUGGAAAAAAUAUACGAACGUAUGCUUAA